RNAcentral lists this ribosomal RNA (732 nucleotides) under uncultured Vagococcus sp. Its description in RNAcentral is "bacterial SSU rRNA". It matches the Rfam family "Bacterial small subunit ribosomal RNA", at positions 766 to 1502 of the family's 1533-position model. The record is from RNAcentral. Lineage: Bacteria; Bacillati; Bacillota; Bacilli; Lactobacillales; Enterococcaceae.
GAGCAAACAGGAUUAGAUACCUGGUAGUCACGCCGUAAACGAUGAGUGCUAAGUGUUAAGGGGUUUCCCCCCUUAGUGCUGCAGCUAACGCAUUAAGCACUCCGCUGGGGAGUACGACCGCAAGGUUGAAACUCAAAGGAAUUGACGGGGGCCCGCACAAGCGGUGGAGCAUGUGGUUUAAUUCGAAGCAACGCGAAGAACCUUACCAGGUCUUGACAUCCUUUGACAACUCUAGAGAUAGAGCUUUCCCUUCGGGGACAAAGUGACAGGUGGUGCAUGGUUGUCGUCAGCUCGUGUCGUGAGAUGUUGGGUUAAGUCCCGCAACGAGCGCAACCCUUAUUGUUAGUUGCCAUCAUUCAGUUGGGCACUCUAGCGAAACUGCCGGUGACAAACCGGAGGAAGGUGGGGAUGACGUCAAAUCAUCAUGCCCCUUAUGACCUGGGCUACACACGUGCUACAAUGGACAGUACAAUGAGCAGCGACACGGCGACGUGAAGCGAAUCUCAUAAAGCUGUUCUCAGUUCGGAUUGUAGGCUGCAACUCGCCUACAUGAAGCCGGAAUCGCUAGUAAUCGCGGAUCAGCACGCCGCGGUGAAUACGUUCCCGGGCCUUGUACACACCGCCCGUCACACCACGAAAGUUUGUAACACCCAAAGUCGGUGAGGUAACCUUCGGGAGCCAGCCGCCUAAGGUGGGAUAGAUGAUUGGGGUGAAGUCGUAACAAGGUAACCA